This 449-nucleotide ribosomal RNA is filed under the name uncultured bacterium. Its description in RNAcentral is "partial 16S ribosomal RNA". It matches the Rfam family "Bacterial small subunit ribosomal RNA", at positions 29 to 523 of the family's 1533-position model. The record is from RNAcentral.
AAUGAACGCUGGCGGCAGGCCUAACACAUGCAAGUCGAACGGGUCCUUCGGGACUAGUGGCGGACGGGUGAGUAACGCGUGGGAACGUGCCCCUUGGUACGGAAUAGCCCCGGGAAACUGGGAGUAAUACCGUAUGUGGUCGAGAGACGAAAGAUUUAUCGCCAAGGGAUCGGCCCGCGUUGGAUUAGGUAGUUGGUGGGGUAAUGGCCUACCAAGCCGACGAUCCAUAGCUGGUUUGAGAGGAUGAUCAGCCACACUGGGACUGAGACACGGCCCAGACUCCUACGGGAGGCAGCAGUUGGGAAUCUUAGACAAUGGGGGAAACCCUGAUCUAGCCAUGCCGCGUGAUCGAUGAAGGCCUUAGGGUUGUAAAGAUCUUUCAGGUGGGAAGAUAAUGACUGUACCACCAGAAGAAGCCCCGGCUAACUCCGUGCCAGCAGCCGCAGUAA